Molecule: ribosomal RNA, 750 nt
Filed under: Bacillus sp. (in: firmicutes)
Lineage: Bacteria; Bacillati; Bacillota; Bacilli; Caryophanales; Bacillaceae
Description: bacterial SSU rRNA
Rfam family: Bacterial small subunit ribosomal RNA
Source: RNAcentral
GACUAGUCGAGCGACUGAUUAGAAGCUUGCUUCUAUGACGUUAGCGGCGGACGGGUGAGUAACACGUGGGCAACCUGCCUGUAAGACUGGGAUAACUUCGGGAAACCGAAGCUAAUACCGGAUAGGAUCUUCUCCUUCAUGGGAGAUGAUUGAAAGAUGGUUUCGGCUAUCACUUACAGAUGGGCCCGCGGUGCAUUAGCUAGUUGGUGAGGUAACGGCUCACCAAGGCAACGAUGCAUAGCCGACCUGAGAGGGUGAUCGGCCACACUGGGACUGAGACACGGCCCAGACUCCUACGGGAGGCAGCAGUAGGGAAUCUUCCGCAAUGGACGAAAGUCUGACGGAGCAACGCCGCGUGAGUGAUGAAGGCUUUCGGGUCGUAAAACUCUGUUGUUAGGGAAGAACAAGUACGAGAGUAACUGCUCGUACCUUGACGGUACCUAACCAGAAAGCCACGGCUAACUACGUGCCAGCAGCCGCGGUAAUACGUAGGUGGCAAGCGUUAUCCGGAAUUAUUGGGCGUAAAGCGCGCGCAGGCGGUUUCUUAAGUCUGAUGUGAAAGCCCACGGCUCAACCGUGGAGGGUCAUUGGAAACUGGGGAACUUGAGUGCAGAAGAGAAAAGCGGAAUUCCACGUGUAGCGGUGAAAUGCGUAGAGAUGUGGAGGAACACCAGUGGCGAAGGCGGCUUUUUGGUCUGUAACUGACGCUGAGGCGCGAAAGCGUGGGGAGCAACAGGAUUAGAUACCCUG